Molecule: long non-coding RNA, 1587 nt
Organism: Vitis riparia (riverbank grape)
Lineage: Eukaryota; Viridiplantae; Streptophyta; Magnoliopsida; Vitales; Vitaceae
Exons: 3
Source: RefSeq, a predicted model, not a curated record
UUACAAAGCUAGUUAAAAGAAAAGGAAAGUUUUGAGCGGGGGAAAAUUGAGAUAUCAACAGUAACUUUUAGAAUAGAGCAUGGCUCGAAGAUGGCCACUACCACAGCUAUUGUCUGUAUCGAUCAUCCCAAUAACUGCAAAUUAGCGGCCUCACCAACCAAGCCUUCACUGUUCUUCACCAAUUGUCUUGAAGACCGAGCAGAUGUGUUCCUCCACUGAUAUUCAUCUCCAAUAUUAAUAAAGAAGCUUGGAGCUCACAGAGGCGACAACCCCACUUCCCCUUCACAUCUAUAAAAAAGGAGCUUUCCUCCCAUUCAUAUCCAUCUCUCUCCGAUUUGCGUGUGAGCUGAAAUAGAGGGGCCGAUGAGAGGGGGGAGAUCGUGAGAGAAGGGAGAAAGGUUUAGGGCUUGAAUAUUGAGGUCCUGUUUGGUUGUGUUUUGAGUGGGCUUGUGGUUGUUGUAGCCUAUCGGGGUUUUGGGCAUGCUUUGUGUUUUAUUUUUUGGUGCCUUUUUUACUGCCUUCUUGGUCGUGCAUCUCUAUCUCUCUCUCUCUCUCUCUUUCUCUCUCUCAUUUGAUAUAUGUAGUUUUCUUGGUCAUGGAUCUGUCUGUCUUACUCUCUCUCUCUCCGUCUCUCUCUUGUAUUUGAUAUAUGUGGUUUGCCUGUGGAAAAUAUUAUUUUAUUUUACCAUUUCUGUGUGAAUUGUGGUUGCCUUGAUCAUAUUCUGAGAGUUGUGUUUACAAUUUCUCUGUGACUUGUUGGAGUUAAAUUGAAAGAAUAUUCACUACGCAUACUGCCUUGUAUGUUUGUUUCCAAUUUUAUAGAAUUAGCCUAAUUGCCAGCAUGCUAAAACUUCCAAUUUUAGCUCACUUUCCCUACCUUAAUAUAUAAAGGAAAAAACAUGCUUUCAUGGUAGUAUUCAGCAACCUGUAAAUGCAGUAGGAGUUAGAUUCUCGAUUAUACUACCAACUAAAGAAGACCAUUUCAAUAGAGAUUGGUGAUGGAUCUUUCUUUUUGUUUUUACUGCAGUACUGUCCUCAGCAAAAAAACAAAACCAAAGGAGGCGGAAUUGUGCAGGGUCAAGCCAAUGAACAAGAUUUUAAUCAGCAUCUUCAAGGGAAGAAGCAGUAUUCAAUGACGUCAAUAGAGACUUCAGCCUAAAUAUACCAGCAUUGGCAUAAAGGAGAAGACCACCACUGAAUGGUAAAGAAGAAACCUAACUUUUCUUGUAAAGUAGAGAAGAGAAGGGUAUUGAAUCCUCAUUUCAGGGGGAACAAACGCUCCCUGCGCAGGUAACAAACGCUCCUUGGCGCAGAUUCAUAGCACGCAGCGAGAAAAAGUGCUUUCUAUGCUACCAACAAUGGGCCAAUCUUUAUUAUAGUGGGUCCAGCAAAGAAGAAAACCAAAGGAGUGGAGUUGCGCCCUCUGUCAAACCAGUGAACAAGGUUUUAACCAGAAUCUUGAAGGGAAGGAGCAGAAGUCAAUGACAUCGAUAGAGACGUGAGGCUAAACAUGCCAGCAUUGAUUAAUGGGAAAGAAGAAACCGAACUUUCCAUGAAAAGUAAAGUGAAGGGUAUUGAUUAGUCUUC